GACGAACGCUGGCGGCGUGCUUAACACAUGCAAGUCGAACGGAAAGGCCCUGCUUUUGUGGGGUGCUCGAGUGGCGAACGGGUGAGUAACACGUGAGUAACCUGCCCUUGACUUUGGGAUAACUUCAGGAAACUGGGGCUAAUACCGGAUAGGAGCUCCUGCUGCGUGGUGGGGGUUGGAAAGUUUCGGCGGUUGGGGAUGGACUCGCGGCUUAUCAGCUUGUUGGUGGGGUAGUGGCUUACCAAGGCUUUGACGGGUAGCCGGCCUGGGAGGGUGACCGGCCACAUUGGGCCUGCGAUACGGCCCAGACUCCUACGGGAGGCAGCAGUGGGGAAUAUUGCGCAAUGGGCGGAAGCCUGAUGCAGCAACGCCGCGUGCGGGAUGACGGCCUUCGGGUUGUAAACCGCUUUCGCCUGUGACGAAGCGUGAGUGACGGUAAUGGGUAAAGAAGCACCGGCUAACUACGUG
Molecule: ribosomal RNA, 468 nt
Filed under: uncultured bacterium
Lineage: Bacteria
Description: partial 16S ribosomal RNA
Rfam family: Bacterial small subunit ribosomal RNA
Source: RNAcentral